UCUCUAGGUUUGGAUUUGUUUUUUAACGGGAAUCAUACAAUCAUGUGCCAAGUGGUGCUGAAGAGCCCUAAUUUAAUUGUAUUGGCAUGAAAUGAUUGAAUUCAUUGGUGAUGGAAGAAAGAGUGAUUUAGCAUCAGAUUUCCUGAUAGAAGAAGCUUCACCGUUUGGUUUUCAUUUCUUCAAAGAACGAGAGGGAAGUGGCUGAUGAAGGAAUGAGACUUAUGGAGAAGAAUCUAGUUCCCAGACAACAUCAUUGGCACACCUUUGAAUCCAGUUCUCAUUUCACUCUACAAACCAAAGGAAGUAAAAAUGAACAUAGACAAGUGAGAAUGCAAUUAUGACAAAACAUGGCCACUGUUUUGAAGGUAUUUUAAGUCAUUGAGAGAGGUUUAAUACAUUCUUUAUAGCCCCAAGAACAUGUCUUCAUGUUUAGUCUUUUAUUAAACAGAAAACAUUAACUGAGGAAAAUAUUUCAAAUGAGAUAUGCUUCCAGAAAACAGCUGAAAGCAAUAUUGCCAACAUUUUGACAGGCUUACUUGGGUUAAAGCAGUCACUAUGUACUUCUAUUAUCUUUGAAAAUGUUAAAGGAAUGCCAACUUUGUGUUUGCAUCUCUUCAAUUUAUAAACCCAAAUGAAUUUUAGUUCAAAUGAUACUGGUUUGGAAUGAAAUGUUUUAUACCAGUUUUGGAAUAAAUCCUCAGGUACAUU
Non-coding RNA from Macaca mulatta (Rhesus monkey), 708 nucleotides. NCBI's taxonomy places the organism in Eukaryota, Metazoa, Chordata, Mammalia, Primates, Cercopithecidae. The record is from RefSeq and is a predicted model, not a curated record.